CAGUAGCCGCGGGAAUACGAAGGGGGCUAGCGUUGUUCGGAUUUACUGGGCGUAAAGGGCGCGUAGGCGGACUGAUAAGUCAGGGGUGAAAUCCCAAGGCUCAACCUUGGAACUGCCUUUGAUACUGUUUGUCUUGAGUUCGAGAGAGGUAAGUGGAACUGCGAGUGUAGAGGUGAAAUUCGUAGAUAUUCGCAAGAACACCAGUGGCGAAGGCGGCUUACUGGCUCGAAACUGACGCUGAGGCGCGAAAGCGUGGGGAGCGAACAGGAUUAGAUACCCGUGUAGUCCCUGUCUCUUAUAC
This 301-nucleotide ribosomal RNA is filed under the name uncultured bacterium. RNAcentral's name for it is "partial 16S ribosomal RNA". It matches the Rfam family "Bacterial small subunit ribosomal RNA", at positions 509 to 807 of the family's 1533-position model. The record is from RNAcentral.